AAGGAACAUCAUUCAUAUUGUCUGACGACUUAUCCAACAGAAAUGUCUUCUAGGAAAUAAAAUUCUAAUGUAUUUCAGAACCAUCAAUACUCCAAUUCAUUAAAGUCAUAGGUCAAUUCAUUAAAUGAUAUCCUUUUAGGAUACCAUGAUGAGUUACUCCUUCUCUUCUAUCCUAUUUUAUGGUAUACUUAAUUUGAAUUGUCAAAUAUUCAUUGAAUGAAACUAUUAAGAGACAGAAGAAGAAAAAAUUAACUCAUGAAGGAAAAAAAUGAACUUUUGCCAGCCACAAUAUAAGCUAAUGCUUCUCUCUUUUCUUGUUAUUUUUACUCCUUUGCUUUCCUUUACUUGUUCCCUACAAAAUUCUUGUGAUCUCACCGUAUCUUUGGGCUGUAAUCUUGAUUCUUAACACAGCACCUGAGCAAGAAUGAAUGCAUAUUUUGGAUUCCUCCUCCUAACUCAUGAUGAUACCUUACUAGAGUUAUGAGGACCUAGCAAGUCAUCACAAUUUGUUUCCUCACAGAGGCACUCAUGAGGAUUGGCAUAGAAGUAGUCCUCUUCCUUUGGCUUAUCUAAGAUAGCUCUACGCCUAGUUGGCUGAGCAAUUCUCCUCUCAUGAACCACUCUCACAGCAUCUCCAAACUGAAUCCAUGAAAGGGUUCCAUUUUGAUGCAUAUCAACUAAUUCUACCACCUUUUUUCGGUCUAAUAAGAUGGUCUUUUUAAAACCAGAAUACCUGCGAUGACCUUCCACUAGUUUCGCCAUGUUCCCAUCAUAGGUAGGAACAAAUGCGUUACUGGCUACUGAAACCAUAAAAUCCAAGGCUGCCAUCUGAGAUGAAUGAUUCUGGAACUGUCGCAACUCGUCCCAGGUUAGCAAUGUUUCCUUUUUCACCUAAAAUUGCGAAGAAGAAAAGUCAGAUGCUUCCAUGCAGAACAAUUUGAAAGGGAAGAAAGGAGGAUCAAAAAGAGAAAAUGCACAUUUAGAUCAGGGCCAACAGGUCUGAGGGCUAGACCAAUUUUCAACCACAGACAGAAUGCACAAGGAAAAAUUUGCAUAAUCCACAACAACCCAUUAGUAUUAUUCUGAACCAUUUUAAUAUCCAAAAAAUAAACAGAAAGUUAGUAGGAAAAACUAUAAUCCAAUGAAAACUCACAAUUCGUGGAUAUACAGAUCUCAAUUGUGCAAGUCUGCGUUCACCACCAUAAAUCUCACCAGCUGCAAUAUAGAUCUGAGUCUCCCUACCAAAACCUAAGGCUCGCAGAACUAAGGCUGCCUCCUCUGGUGUCAGAGGACAUAAGCCCUGUGAUCUCCGCUCCUCAGAAAUGAUCUCCUUUUCCUUCCACCAAGGGAAAGCAUACCUGAAUUACAAGAGGAAUUCAAUAUUGUGGCUCAUAGCAGAAUUU
RNAcentral lists this small RNA (1403 nucleotides) under Vigna angularis var. angularis. RNAcentral describes it as "Non-protein coding transcript". The record is from RNAcentral. Lineage: Eukaryota; Viridiplantae; Streptophyta; Magnoliopsida; Fabales; Fabaceae.